Long non-coding RNA from Cajanus cajan (pigeon pea), 1427 nucleotides. RefSeq lists it as uncharacterized. Lineage: Eukaryota; Viridiplantae; Streptophyta; Magnoliopsida; Fabales; Fabaceae. The record is from RefSeq and is a predicted model, not a curated record.
AAAAAAAAAAAAAACAGAAGUCACUGUCUCCAUGUAGAAUUGUGCCUAUAUGAUAACCAUUAAGGUUUAUUCAUUUCUUGCUGCCUCUGUAUCAUGUAGCUAUUAGUUGCACUUGUAUUUGGGUCUUUAGGGGAUACGUGGGAGGUUGAUGUUGUAUUAUGUUUCAAUAUUCCAACGUGGAUAGCUAAUGAGCUAGCAAGAACAGAUGGCUAUAACAGUACCAGGUGUAGCUUCAAGGUUCCAUGAACGUGCAAUUUUCUGGUUUGGAUCAUUGCCAUAUUUGACGUUUUUGAAGCAUUUCUCAACUGGCAUUUCAACCUUCUUGAGUGUAGAUAAUUUAAAAUUGAGUGUCAGAUAUCUGCUGGAAGAUGAAAGUAUUUUUCCUUCUAUUUUUGUGAUGCAGUGAAGAACAUCCAUGCUUUGUUGGAGUUUCUUCCUGCAAUUUGGAAGUCUCGCACAUGUAUAAUUGUGUAUUGUUAUUUAGAGCAAUGGUUAUGUUAAUCUUCAUCACUUGAAGAACAGUUUGAUUCGAUGCUUUACUAAUUGAAAAUUGUCUUGAUUUAUCAAGAGAUGUCUUUGGUGCUUCGACAUCAAACGAUUGUGUUAUGUCCUCCUGUAAUAUCCGUCGUAUACAGUAUUGUCUGUUUAUAUACAGUGACAUAUUCCCGCGCUGGUCGAUGAUUUCAUAGCCUUGGUCAUUAUUAUUGAAAUUCAUCUUGUUCUUUAGUUAUUGGGAACACCAAUGUUAAUCUGGUUUGUUUUCUACUCCUUUUUAAUUUGAUCAUGGUGAAACAGUUUGUCCAGGUCUUUUUAUAAAUGUUUUUUAUUUUGGUAGUAUUUGAUGCAGUUUGACUAAUGCAGGCGCAGUGACACUUAUUAGUGAACUCGUAUAUUGUGCAGCAUCUAAUUGCUAGUUUGUUUUUGACCUUGAAUCCUAAUAUUUCGUCUUAGAAUUGCUUCACAAUUGCGGGUCUUGCAACUGUUUUGCGAAUCAGAUUUUGUGGGAAGAGGUGGUGGAUUUCUUGGUUUUUAAGUUAAUGGCUUGAAUAUUUUUUAUUGCCAUAAAUCCUAAUUAAUUCUCUGGGAAGAUCGGAGUAUUCGCAAUGUUGCUUUCCGAGCAGAAAUGGGAAGGUUCAUUUAGAUUAAUAGAGUCGAUGAUGUUACGGGUUUCCUAGGCCGUAUAAAUAUUGCCGGAGAAUGGUUUAUUGCGUGUAUUGAAGUAGCUAGUAGUAGGUAAAUCCUUUUAGUGCAAGUUCUCUGCAUCAUUUUCUGAAGCGUAGACCCGUUUUCUGGUGUGGUGUUUGGUCUCGUAAGUAGCAUAGGCCGAAAAUUGUUUUGUACACAUUUAUUUCUUGUCGUUUCAAGUUUACUUGAAGUUACUUCAGUAAUUUUUAACAUAAUUUAUAAUAUUUUUAUUAUUAUCUUCA